This is a non-coding RNA of Podarcis lilfordi (Lilford's wall lizard), 88 nucleotides long. Lineage: Eukaryota; Metazoa; Chordata; Lepidosauria; Squamata; Lacertidae. The record is from the annotation of a GenBank genome assembly.
UUGUGUUUAUUUCUCAGCCAUCUUGCAAGGUACCUCAUUUAAAUAAAUAAUUGAGGUACCUUGCAAAAUGGCUGAGAAAUAAACACAG